UGAUUGUGCAAAUUUUUUCUC
This 21-nucleotide non-coding RNA is filed under the name Caenorhabditis elegans. Lineage: Eukaryota; Metazoa; Nematoda; Chromadorea; Rhabditida; Rhabditidae. The record is from RNAcentral.